RNAcentral lists this ribosomal RNA (484 nucleotides) under uncultured bacterium. Its description in RNAcentral is "partial 16S ribosomal RNA". It matches the Rfam family "Bacterial small subunit ribosomal RNA", at positions 30 to 507 of the family's 1533-position model. The record is from RNAcentral.
AUUGAACGCUGGCGGCAGGCCUAACACAUGCAAGUCGAGCGGAUGAAGGGAGCUUGCUCCUGGAUUCAGCGGCGGACGGGUGAGUAAUGCCUAGGAAUCUGCCUGGUAGUGGGGGAUAACGUCCGGAAACGGGCGCUAAUACCGCAUACGCCCUGAGGGGGAAAGUGGGGGAUCUUCGGACCUCACGCUCUCAGAUGAGCCGAGGUCGGAUUAGCUAGUUGGUGGGGUAAAGGCCUACCAAGGCGACGAUCCGUAACUGGUCUGAGAGGAUGAUCAGUCACACUGGAACUGAGACACGGUCCAGACUCCUACGGGAGGCAGCAGUGGGGAAUAUUGGACAAUGGGCGAAAGCCUGAUCCAGCCAUGCCGCGUGUGUGAAGAAGGUCUUCGGAUUGUAAAGCACUUUAAGUUGGGAGGAAGGGCAGUAAGUUAAUACCUUGCUGUUUUGACGUUACCAACAGAAUAAGCACCGGCUAACUUCGUG